UUCCUUAACGAGCCACUUGAUGGCUGCGGCGACGCGGCCGCGGCCCGCAGGAAGGACCGGCGAGGGGGCGGCAGGAUGCCGAGGCGACGGGAGACCCCAGCCUGGGUGGCCAGGCUCAACCUCGACCCCCGGCUGGGCGCGGAGAGCACCUGCCCCGGCUACCGGGCGCCGGGCAGCGUCGGGCCAGAUGCGCGCUUCUGCAGGAAGCUUUUAACAAGAUGCAGCUGAGCGUGUCGAUAUCUUACAUCUUUUUACUGCUCUAUGGGCUGCUCAGCUACUUGAAGCUCCUCACUACUUCAGACAAGCACUGGCACCUUCCAGAGACAGUGUUCCCAGGCUUGAUUUACACUCACCGUUACAACUAUCCUUUGGUGCCCUCUGGAAAAACAUGGGACAUUGCAAGUAAAGGAAGACUCCAGAUCCACAAGGAACUCGGAGUCCUGAGGGUAAAGUUUGAGAACUUGUAGCAUCCUGGUUUCUUCUGCCCUCCUGGAUUCUCUUUGUCCGUGGGAGA
Long non-coding RNA from Peromyscus eremicus (cactus mouse), 514 nucleotides. RefSeq lists it as uncharacterized. The record is from RefSeq and is a predicted model, not a curated record. The transcript is spliced from 3 exons. NCBI's taxonomy places the organism in Eukaryota, Metazoa, Chordata, Mammalia, Rodentia, Cricetidae.